RNAcentral lists this ribosomal RNA (399 nucleotides) under uncultured bacterium. Its description in RNAcentral is "bacterial SSU rRNA". It matches the Rfam family "Bacterial small subunit ribosomal RNA", at positions 976 to 1380 of the family's 1533-position model. The record is from RNAcentral.
AGGCCUUGACAUCGGAUGCAAAGUCCCAGAGAUGGGAUGGAGGAUAUCAUCCAGACAGGUGGUGCAUGGUUGUCGUCAGUUCGUGUCGUGAGAUGUUGGGUUAAGUCCCGCAACGAACGCAACCCCUGUGGCAUGUUGCUAACAUUAAGUUGAGGACUCAUGCCAGACUGCCGGUGACAAACCGGAGGAAGGCGGGGAUGACGUCAAAUCAUCAUGCCCCUUAUGGCCUGGGCUACACACGUACUACAAUGGCGCCUACAAAGAGCAGCGAGCCUGCAAGGGCAAGCGAAUCUCAUAAAGGGCGUCCCAGUUCGGAUUGAAGUCUGCAACCCGGCUUCAUGAAGUUGGAAUCACUAGUAAUCGCAGAUCAGCAUGCUGCGGUGAAUACGUUCUCGGGCC